RNAcentral lists this long non-coding RNA (211 nucleotides) under Salvia miltiorrhiza (redroot sage). RNAcentral's name for it is "long non-coding RNA (SMIL_LNC013731)". Lineage: Eukaryota; Viridiplantae; Streptophyta; Magnoliopsida; Lamiales; Lamiaceae. The record is from RNAcentral.
UCACGUUCUCGAAACAUGGCUCUUAAAAUCAAAGAAAUCAAUGAGAAUUUGGAAUCCAUUAAAAAAGAGGCCGCCGAGCUUCGCCUCGUAGAGAAGCUUGACAAUGAGCCCACUUUGGUUAUUGAUACUUCCGAAACUGCUUCAUUUGCUCUUGAUCCAUUUUUUGUUGGAAGAGAUGAUGUUGUGAACGAAAUAGUUGAGAUGCUUACAA